RNAcentral lists this ribosomal RNA (492 nucleotides) under uncultured bacterium. RNAcentral describes it as "partial 16S ribosomal RNA". It matches the Rfam family "Bacterial small subunit ribosomal RNA", at positions 29 to 507 of the family's 1533-position model. The record is from RNAcentral.
AGUGAACGCUGGCGGUAGGCCUAACACAUGCAAGUCGAACGGCAGCACAGUAAGAGCUUGCUCUUACGGGUGGCGAGUGGCGGACGGGUGAGGAAUACAUCGGAAUCUACUUUUUCGUGGGGGAUAACGUAGGGAAACUUACGCCAAUACCGCAUACGACCUACGGGUGAAAGCAGGGGAUCUUCGGACCUUGCGCGAUUGAAUGAGCCGAUGUCGGAUUAGCUAGUUGGCGGGGUAAAGGCCCACCAAGGCGACGAUCCGUAGCUGGUCUGAGAGGAUGAUCAGCCGCACUGGAACUGAGACACGGUCCAGACUCCUACGGGAGGCAGCAGUGGGGAAUAUUGGACAAUGGGCGCAUGCCUGAUCCAGCCAUACCGCGUGGGUGAAGAAGGCCUUCGGGUUGUAAAGCCCUUUUGUUGGGAAAGAAAAGCAGCAGGUUAAUACCCCGCUGUUCUGACGGUACCCAAAGAAUAAGCACCGGCUAACUUCGUG